AUCAUUUCAAUUUUCAUUGUCUAUUUUGGAAACCCUUAAAGUAUUUCAGAUGUAACUUAAGGAGUUUUGUUUGAGCAUCUUCUGUUUAAAUUAUAAUUUCAAGGUAAAGAAAAUUAUUUACUGUAAGAGAGUUCUCAUUUUUAAGAAGAUUCUCACUUUUUCUCAGCAAAAUUUUCCCCCAGAAUAAAGAAGUAAUACACUAUAUUGGCUAGAAUCAAAUGCCAGCUUUUACAAGGAAGUAAUACUGCCUUAGGGCUUUUAAAAAUCAUUUAUCAAGCUUUUAACCUGUUUCCCUUAUUUCAUCUCAGCCAUUUCAUGAAAGACUGUUACAAAUAUAUAAUUUUUGAUUCUAUUAAAAAUAUUUCAGGAACUAAUUUAUAGAUACUUGGAAAUAUUUAUUGAAUGAGUUGCAGAGUUUCUCCAGUAUUUUACAGAACAACCCUGGAAUUAGAUUUCUAUUUUGAUUUUGAUUUUGAAGUCAGAUUUUAGAAAAUUGUAUUUUGUCUAAUCUGCCUUCUAAAUGCAUUUUACUUUUACUAAGUAAACCUUUAGGUGCUCAAGAUGUGAAAAAGGAUCAUUUGGGACUAAAUAAAAACUUGAAUCCUGAGAAUGGAUUAAAGAAAAAAUUGAAAUAUUGGAAGAUCUUAAUAUGGCCAUUUAUUUUGCAGAGAAGAAAUAGUUAUAUAUGGAUGUAUAUUAAGAUUUCAUUUUUUCCAUCUUCUUUGGAAAAAACGUCUAAUCUUUUUCAUUCAAGUUUAAGUUGA
RNAcentral lists this long non-coding RNA (764 nucleotides) under Capra hircus (goat). Its description in RNAcentral is "lncRNA (ENSCHIG00010029945.1)". The record is from RNAcentral. Lineage: Eukaryota; Metazoa; Chordata; Mammalia; Artiodactyla; Bovidae.